This 253-nucleotide ribosomal RNA is filed under the name uncultured bacterium. RNAcentral's name for it is "partial 16S ribosomal RNA". It matches the Rfam family "Bacterial small subunit ribosomal RNA", at positions 524 to 776 of the family's 1533-position model. The record is from RNAcentral.
UACGGAGGGAGCUAGCGUUGUUCGGAAUUACUGGGCGUAAAGCGCGCGUAGGCGGCUUUGUAAGUUAGAGGUGAAAGCCCGGAGCUCAACUCCGGAACUGCCUUUAAAACUGCAUCGCUUGAAUCCAGGAGAGGUGAGUGGAAUUCCGAGUGUAGAGGUGAAAUUCGUAGAUAUUGGGAAGAACACCGGUGGCGAAGGCGGCUCACUGGCUCGUUUCUGACGCUCAGGCGCGACAGCGUGGGGAUCAAACAGG